RNAcentral lists this small nuclear RNA (135 nucleotides) under Neogale vison (American mink). Its description in RNAcentral is "Neovison vison (American mink) U4 spliceosomal RNA (ENSNVIG00000018992.1)". It matches the Rfam family "U4 spliceosomal RNA". From Rfam's summary of the family: U4 small nuclear RNA (U4 snRNA) is a component of the major U2-dependent spliceosome. Lineage: Eukaryota; Metazoa; Chordata; Mammalia; Carnivora; Mustelidae. The record is from Rfam by way of RNAcentral.
AGCUUUGUGCAGUGGCAGUAUCGUAAGCCAAUGAGGUUUAUCCGAGGCACGAUUAUUGCUAAUUGAAAAACUUUGUUACUUUCUUAAAUAUAUAUCUCCUUCGUAGAUUGAUUCUUUUAAAGAUGGUAAAAACUA